AGACUAAUAGUGUAGUCGAAAGGUUGGAUUUACUGUAUUUCGUUCAGGUCUUACAAUAUUGACUAACAUAGCUAUAGGCCUGACUCAUAAUAAUGAACAUAUCCCUGAGGAUUUAAGAGAGAUUUGUUAUUAAACUUAGGUUCCGUGGUAAAAGUUUUGCUAAAGUGGCCUAACUGCAACUUCUAAAUGCUUUAAUAGUUUUGUGGAUUUCAUGGUUGUGAAAAGUGCUGGCUUGGUAUCUGUGAAAACUGAAGCCCAUUCUUUAUUCAUGGAUUAAUUACAGCAGAGCAGUUGCCAAGUGAUCUUCUCCACAGCACCCAUGAACUUCAGACUUGAACCGAAGAGGACUCAUCAAAUGGCUUAGGAGAGACAGCAUGGAAUUGGAAGAGAAGCAGGGAUCUCCAUGAAAGGCAGUCAACUACUUCUUGGUGUGUGGAGGAACAGUUCCUGUUCUCACUGUUGUUGCUCCCACAUAGGCGGACUCUGUAAUUGAUUAUGUGUGGGUAGGGCCCUUCUGAAAUUAAGGAGAUUCUGCAAUAGUGCAGGGUUCUUUUGGUGAAAGUUCAGUUGCAAGAUCAGGACCCUACUGUGACUCCUUACUGUGAAUUCUGUCAGUGUGUCAUUGAUUGUGCUGGAACCUGCCUUUUGGGAAAAUUACCAAAUAAUAUAUUCCUCAAAACUUCUUAAUGGCACUGAGGCUUUGUGGAUAGUUGGUCACAUGAUGAGAAAAUUUGGCUGCCCAUCAAGACUACUUCUACCUGAUACCUCUCCUUCAGUAUCAAGAGGCUGACUGGUUUUGAUCAACACAUGAUGCCAGCUUCCAUCAUUCGGUCGUUAAAUUUUCAGACUGGAUAUUUUCUCUUCAGCUGCCUCUCAUGUAUUGGUUAACUUCUUCAUAAACAGAACUGUUCACUAUCUUCCUUUAAAUAUCUUCUUAAAAGUUUUAUGUAAUGCGAGGCAUAAAACAAUCCAACUAGACAACAGUUAUAUUGCAGGUAUAUUAAUGCCAACGCUUAUCACAGUAGUACUGUGUCAUCGCAUUUGUACUCUGCCAUAAUUUCUCUGUUGUCUCUUUAUGUAGAAUUCAAGCACAUCCGCUUCUUGUUGUGUGUUUUUUUGUGGCCCAGCAUAAUGAGAAGUGGUCCAGGGUGAGGCCUCCGUAGAUUUAUGGUAAUACAUAUAAUAAUAAAUAAUAGUGAACACCUACUGGAUACUGCAGUGUGGCUGUUGGAUUCUGCUGUGCCUCAUGUCACAUCGUAUUUAAUGGAGAAAGAAGGUGCUCCAACUAGAGGCCUCACAAGAGGGAAAGAAGAAGGGCUUUGCAGCCAACAGAUAAAAUGCUAGCCCCAGAGGCCUUCUCAACUGUCAAACCCGAGUCCAUAGCUACUGGCUGAAAGCAUCCCUCUCUUCUCUUCUCCAGAGCAGUAAAAACAGACUCUCCAUUCUCAUAGAAGGAAGUAAAUUCAAAUAACACAAAGGUCUACACUGCGUGUAAAAGCUACCAUCUCUUCUGAAGCUUUUCACUUACUACCUCUCUGACCAUCCUACCUUCUCUGUUGAAAGUAGUGUCCUAACUUCUGCUGUGGAAGACUGCUGACCCUUUCCUUUGAUGCUGAUACCAGUAUUGUCUGUGAGAGAUAGUACUGUAGUGAAGACAUAGAAAAAGAAGAAUACGGCACUUAUGGAUUCUUUGUAGUUUUGAAUAGUCAAGAAGUAUUGUUCUUCUGCCUUCAUAUAAAAUGUGUUAGUUUUCUAAUGUAAUUUCAAGAUGUUUAUGGAAGUGUAAAAUUAAACAUGAAGAAUAUAAAAUCCGUAUUAAAGACAUUUAAAUUUAACAAAGUAUAGCAUUAGUCUUUAUUUUCAAAAUUGAGUCCUACAUGGCUCACUUGCAAGAAGUGGGAUAGAUUGUAAAAGUUGUGUACUGGUGAAGUCUGACUUAUUGAAAGGUAAAUUUAUU
Calidris pugnax (ruff) is the source of this 1957-nucleotide long non-coding RNA. RefSeq lists it as uncharacterized. The transcript is spliced from 6 exons. The record is from RefSeq and is a predicted model, not a curated record. NCBI's taxonomy places the organism in Eukaryota, Metazoa, Chordata, Aves, Charadriiformes, Scolopacidae.